UUACAAUUAUUUUGGAAUUUAUUUCAAAACAUCUGUCAGCAAGUAUGUCUGUAACAAUACAGACCAAAAAAAGAUUCUGAUAAUUUUUUUUUGACAAAUAGAUUCCUUACUAGGCAUAUUAGUAUAGAACUUUGUGUAAUUCUUUUAAAUUACAGUACACAACUGUAUUUCCUGCAUCUGUCAGAAGCAGUGCAAAGGCUUGGCGGAGUCAGGGGUAACAGAAGAGCUGAGGGAGAGGGAAGGAGCCUGGGAGUGAACCUGGAGGGUGUUGCGGAUGGGUGGGGGGAUGGGAUUGUUAGGGUGUUGGGAAGCCUCCCCCAUACAGACCCUGGCUGACCCCAAGCCUCUCCCAUUCAGUCAGGCACAUCUGCCCUGUCCCCCAUCCCCAUGGUCUCUACAGCCCCACUCCCCCAUCCCCAGGCUCAAUGCUGUCACCCCACUAGCUCCUGAGCCCAUGCUCCACCUGUCCCCACCACUAGCCAUUCUGAAACUGACUGUGACCCCACAGCAGCCCUGUGUGCCCCACUCUGUCCUAACCUGGCUCCGCGGGCAGCAUGUUGUGAUGAACUGUACUCCUGGGGGAAUUCAACCGCACUGGGCAUAGACUUUUGUAUUUUCCUGCGUAAAAUACAUUUGACCUCAGAAGUGCUGCAGUUUUGCCUUUUGCCCAUCAGAGGCUUUUGUGGCGCUAGAACGCAGCAGGCUUUUCUGGCGCCACAGCGGCCUCUGAUGGGCAAAAGGUGGAACUGCAGCACCUCUGGGCAAAAUGUUUUUUAGGCGGGAAAAUUAAAAAUUAUGCGAGACAGAUGAAUUGAUUUCCCCCAGGAAUAAAAUGGUAACAUUACAAGAUGUUAUAAUCUAAUUUGGCUUGAGUGACCUAUAUAAAUCUCCUCAAAGCUUCUCUCUUAUGGACACCAGAGGCAUGAUUUAAUUAUAGGGCUGUGAUAAACUUGUAACAAAACCAGGCAAAAUUCACCUGGUUUUCAAUUUCAUUAAAAAACUCAAUCCAGACCUGCAAGCCUUUGACUACCCUAGCUGAGUUUUGAGUCAGGUGAACUACUAUUUUGGGUGGAAACUGCUUGUUUGUUCUAACAAUUUCAGGUGAGGUUUCACUUUGUGUUCUGGGGUUUGUUUGAAUGAGAAUCUGAGAGCAAAAGUGAAGAGGUGCAUACCCAAAAGAAGUGAACUGGGGAAGUGGGGUUGUACAAAACUCUGUGAAUGAAACCAAUGAGCUCUAGAUUAGUGUAUAUUGGUCUCUGUAUUAUCAUGUGAAUUAAUGUAUUUCUCAUAAGUAGCUUUAUCUCUUUGCAGAAGUGUCUACUAAUCACACAAGACCAAGGUGACACUGGAAAGUCUCAGCUAGUGACUUUCACAGUUUAGACCCAUUUUUGUCCUGCUCUGCUUUAAGGUAAUGUUUAUUAUUUCCGUUAUCUAGAAGAGGGCCCCAGCAGGAGCUUUGCCACAACACAAUAUAUGUUAUGCCUCCCCUACACCAAGUGAAUGCUAGACGGUGCCACUACUGACAGCAGUAAAUCCCAAAUUACCUUCACUAGUACAGGACUCCAGCAUAGCAGUCCUAGGCCUCUGAUGACACCCCUCAGGCCAAGUUUCCAUAUGCUUGUUGACUCGUUGAUUUGGAAAUUAUCAAACAUUUUAAUGGACUGGACCUACGUCCACCUACCCCAACUCUUUGUAUGGGGCAGACCCUGGUUUGGAUUUUGCAAAACCACAGCAGAUGAGAUUCGGUUUUAGAGAAACAUCAGAAGUUUGGGGGAGGCAGGGAACAGAAAAUAAUUUUGAGAAUGAUCACCUCUGGUAUGGGGUGGGCCCAUACUCCCUACCCCCCCCACCACCACUGGGCACAAAGCAUGUGAAAUGGGAUUUUCAAAGAAGCCUAAAUGAGAUAGGCACUUAACUUCCAUCAGUCUGUUGAAAAAUCCCAGCUGUUAGAAAGAAAAGAUUUUGUAUCAUCUGAAGUGUUUAGAAAGAAAAAAUGAACUAAUUUUAAAGUGUCAGUGAAUCUGCAUCAGCAUCCCUUGGCAACCCAGGAAGGUUGCAUUUUACAUCCUCAGCACAACAACCUCUCACCUUUGCAGUUCUCUCACCCCUGGUACUUCCAAGUUCAGAGUUACCGGACAUUCCAGUUAUUGCACUGAGAUCUACCAGCUUUGCUACUGAGAAUAAUGGAGUGGACAACGUUCCAGGCUGCUUACCCGUGCUACUGCUCUGUCAGAAAGAGGAGGUGCAAACCAGGCAGCAGCAUGGCAGACUUCUCCCACACAUUGUCUCCCUGCCAGUGUGCCCCAACAUUGAUCUAUGAGGACCCGUUGGGGUGAGGUAAGAAGACUGUUCAAUCACCAUGACUUAGUCAGUCCCUGGAAUCUCUACAAAGGAGCCAAUUUGUGCCCUUUGUGCUGGGGGUUUCUUGGCCGUGGACACUGGUCAUUAGGAACCGGCCAGAUACACAAACUCAUUUCCUAUAUGCCAUCAAAUAGCCACCGAUGAGCACUAUUGGUUACUACAAGCCUGGGCUGAAUUUAAACUUGUGACCUAAUGAGGAAGUGCAUGUAUUUCUUGAUCAUUCCCCUGUGCCAUUCAGUAACCCGAAUAAUCUGGACUGGUAUUUUCAAAGGCACUCAGAUCCCAUUAAAAUGGGAACUGGACACCUUGCUCCUUAAGGCACCUUUGAAAAUCUCAGCCUUAAGCUUUAAAAUGAGUCUGUUGUGUCUUACCCACAAGAGCAGACUGUCCUCUCUCCUGAAUCAGGAAGAGCUGACCCCAAUCUGUACAGCAUGUCUUCACUCCGAAGACAACCAGGUAGCCAGUUGAGAGUACCCACAGGUACGGCGAGAGUAGCAGCUCUGCCAGGGUGCUGUCAUCUCUGGAUGAGCCUGAAAGGAGAAUUAGUAGAAACACCAUUACACUGCUUGGACACAGCAAUAGGACACAAUCAACCCAGCUGGGGGGUAGGAUGAUCUGUGAGCAGAUUCUGUGUGCAGUGGGAGCAGCCUUGUAACAGUAAGGCUUUUCUAAAUGUAGAACUAGCAAUGAUCGGCCAUUGCUACCACCCAUUUGCUGUGUACAAAGAAACCUGUCCAUGGUAUUUAUCCCACUUAAUUAAAAAGCAGACAUCAAUAAGCUACAUUUUACUCCCCAUAACUCUGCUCUCUUAUGGGUCCCAGUGAACACUUCCGACAGAAGAUGUUGGAGAACAUAUUGUCUGCUCUUCCAGAUGUUGUUUCUAGUCCGCUUCACUAGUCCGUGAAAGAAGCUGUGUACAUCCCACAAAGGACAUUGCAUUUAAGCUAGCUGCUCAGUUCUUACAUGAACCUGACAGUUAUGUCUGCUAACACUCAUAUCCCAAAAAUACAUUGUGGUAGCAAUUAUGUUCCCAUGACAAUUAUCAAAUGCCAAUUCCAGCAGCAAAAGAUUUACAGGGUGGUACAGAAGUCAGUACUUUAAAUACGGUUUUUGUAGGCUUUUAAAUCCAGUCACAGUCCCUGUGUCACAACAACCCUCCAGCCCUUUUGCUCUCAAGAGAAGGUUCAAUUCAUUGGACAUGACCCAACAUUUAUUAACUAGAUGUCCUAGUUCAGGACACCAAAUGUUGAGCAGAGUCCACUCAAACUAGGGUUCAACAAAACAGGAGGCAGAAUUCUCUGUUUAUUGGAGACAUGCCAAAGGCAGCUCUUCUCUCUGCUGCUCAGUAAGAAACAAAUAAUAAUGCUUUACACUACAGCCCUGUGCGGGAUUAGUGUAGAGCCCUGCAGCGGGAUUGGGAUCCCGCGGAUCCCACAGGACCUGCUGCCAUAAUAGCAGGAGUGGUUGGGAGCAAGAUUAAAAAUAGUCCCGCACAAGGCUCUACUUUGCCCCUCUCUGGCAUGGAGGAUCUGAGAUCACGACAUAAAUAAUUUAAGACCCCAAGGGAAAUAGAAGAAUAUUAACAUAGACAUUUUAUAGAUGGGGAGACUAUGGCACAUAGAGCUGAAGCAACUUGUUGAGGGUCUCACAGAGUCAGUGGCAUAGAUGGGAGUAGAUGUGAAAGUGAGUUAGGAUCUUUCCCUGCCCUACAAGACUCCAUUAGAUGACCGUCCUUUGCACAAUCGAGGGCACCAAUACUUUCACACUGCGAGACACACAUGACACACAAAACAUAUUCCUUAACCAGGAUACCUCAGGUGUUCUCACAGUAUACGACUGCAAGCAGAUCUGGAGUUAAAUGCUGAUAAGCACCAAGUUCAGGAAAUGGGAAGGGCUUGUUCCAGCACCAAGGAACUGGAGGGACACUCAGACUAUCAAAUUUUGGUAGAACAUGUCCCAUCUUCUCUUGCUCCUCCUGCUGCCUGCAUGCCUUAAUUGUAAGAUGAGGAGUCUAAUGCUCACCUUUUUUCCCUUUCAUGGUUCCUGGUCCAAUGUUUGGUAGCCCAACGUCUGAGGGUUCAUUUUUAAUCAGGACAAGACAAACAAAGGAGGCAACCAUGCAGAUGAAGCCAGAGACGGACAGAGUUGUGCGCCAGUCGUAGCUCAGAGCCAUCAGAGCAGCAACAAUGGGGCCCAAGCCACCAGCCAGAUUCAUGCUGGUGGAGAGAAUUGCCCACCACGUCCCAAACUGGGAAGGCUCAAACCACUGUGCAACAGGGAAAGAAAGAGAGUGUGAGCAAAGUGCCAUGGAGUGGGAAUUAGACUCAGAUCCAAAAACCUGUAAUUAAGUCCCUUGGUGGCCAGUUCAGAUCCUAGCAGACAGAGGUUUAUAAAACUAGAUAGAAAAAUAUUUUACUCUUCCAUCCCCUUGCAUCCAAGGAACUCAGAGCUUUUUGCAAACAUUAACGAUGUACGCCUCACAGACCUCUCUACCUUGUGAAGUAGGUCAAUAUUAUUCCCAUUUACAGAGGAGGAAAUGGAGGUACAGGAAGUUCUCUAACUGAUUUAUGAUGCUGUCAUCAAAGGUCUGCCUGCUUUGUACCAAGUAAGGGGAUAAACAAAGUGUUUCAGCUUGUAACUUUAGGACCCUGAUCCUUACUGCAGUGGAUGUUGUGGGAGCUCAGCACAAAUUGGGCCCUUGCUGACAGAAUGAUUGCUGUGACUCAGUCCUACUUCUAAUGGAGUCAAUGGUACAACUUUCAUUAAUGCCAAAGGGAGUAGGAGCAGGUCCCAUCUAAUUCAAAUACUUUGUUGACAAUCUUCUGGAAGUGUUACUUGGUAUUUUGUCUUCAUUUUCAGUGAUCUUUCCCCUCUGAGUAUAAACAGCCCUAUGUGAAAGGCAUUUUCCUCCCAGCUCCAUUCAUUGCCCACAGUAUAGAGCAGAGGAAGCAAGAAGGCUUCAUGGAGAGAGAGAGAGAGAGAGAGAGAGAAGCCUCGUAUCCAGGUGAUUAGUUGUUCAGUCCUCCAUCUCCCACAUGCACCUGUCCUCCUCAUUUUUACAUAUCCCAUUGCCAGGACUAGUCUUGCACAGAGACAGAAAUAGGACUACUGGUUUAGAGGGAGGUUCCUACUAAUGUUAGUAUGGAAGGAAGGGCGUGACCUUCUCCAUGGCAGUGCCUUCUUUGUCCCUGCCUUAGACUAAGUCAUUUGAACAUUUCUACAGGGAACCACAGUUACCAGCCCUUAGCUUCAUAACAUCAAGCUUUAUUUCUUCACACUGCUAAAUUAUCCUUCUGUGGCUGUCUAAACAAACACACCAUUCAGCAGGGGCCCUGCUCACAGUGUUCUAUAUGUCACUUGAUAUUCUGUAUAGGCAGACUGGAUUUUUUUUCCUCUUAGGGGCAGAAGGGGUACGUAUCAUUCUCCCAAAAUAUCCUGAAAUGCAACAUGAUCUGGCUUGUGAUUUAUAACUCAUGAGCCCACCGCCAGGUCAAACCAAACUUUACUUAUCAUUCCUUCUCUCUGCAGUGGACAACUACUAGAGCAAAGAGGCUAUGGUGCCUCUGUCUUCACAACUCAGGGGCUGGAAUCCAGCAACUGGGGUUUUUCAUGAUUACAAAUUCUGCGGCUAGGGAAAUUUAACAAAUUAAACUAUAAUCAACAACCAAAGCUUUGUGCUUAAAACAAACGAAUGGAGUAAAUAACUCUCCAACUUGAGUAUUCUUGGCUUAACUAAGCAGCAGGAGGCAUAUGAGACUCUUAUUCCAAGAAGGGCAGGGGAUAGAGCAGCUAGGAGUGUUCUCCCACAGACAGCAUGCCUGGAGCCAUACCGAUACUUCACUUCCUGCUAGGAGAAGUUGGAACAACUGUGAAUUCACCUAUGGUCCCAGCACAAGGACCCCUGCAGUGUUCUCCAUACAGUACCUAUUCUGGAAGAAGUUAGGACAAGUGUUGCUACGAACUUCACACAAAGCAAUCAUUCCUGUAUCAUGCUCUAUUCAGUGUCUCCUGCUCAGCGCUAAAUUUGUAAUGAAAGAGAUGCCAGGGUUCAAGCAAUAUUUUACUUUCAUAACUGACGCAACAAGCUCAGAAGUGCUGGGGAUAUGAACUGCCAAGCCUAGCCCUGGCACUAAUAAAGCAUUACCCUUGGUGUUCAAAUCUGGGACUGCACCCCUGCCAAAAAAAAAAAAAAAAAAAAAGUUUUUCAAAGUAUACUUACUUUGCGCAGUACCUUCCCACACGGUGGCCACCCCAGUCCUUGAGCCAGCCCAUUCAGGAACCACAGCCCUGAAAAGACUGUAACUGUA
This is a long non-coding RNA of Chelonia mydas (Green sea turtle), 6668 nucleotides long. RefSeq lists it as uncharacterized. The record is from RefSeq and is a predicted model, not a curated record. The transcript has 2 exons. NCBI's taxonomy places the organism in Eukaryota, Metazoa, Chordata, Testudines, Cheloniidae.